AAAGGCUUGCUGAUAGCGUUCACAGUGACAGCCCGAAAGUAUGAUUCUAAGGGCCAUGGGUCUGGAUUUCCAGGAAAGCGGAGACCUCGAGGUGCAGGACUGUCGGGGCGAGGUGGCCGAGGCAGGUCAAAGCUGAAAAGUGGAAUCGGAGCUGUUGUAUUGCCUGGGGUGUCUACUGCAGAUAUUUCAUCAAAUAAGGAUGAUGAAGAAAACUCUGUGCUCGAUAUGGUUGUGUUGUUUUCUAGCAGUGACAAAUUCACUUUGAAUCAGGAUACAUGUGUAGUUUGUGGCAGUUUUGGCCAAGGAGCAGAAGGAAGAUUACUUGCCUGUUCUCAGUGUGGUCAGUGUUACCAUACAUACUGUGUCAGUAUUAAGGU
Molecule: RNA transcript, 377 nt
Organism: Homo sapiens (human)
Lineage: Eukaryota; Metazoa; Chordata; Mammalia; Primates; Hominidae
Gene: KMT2CP1
Gene name: lysine methyltransferase 2C pseudogene 1
Source: RefSeq, marked validated